This 450-nucleotide ribosomal RNA is filed under the name uncultured bacterium. RNAcentral's name for it is "partial 16S ribosomal RNA". It matches the Rfam family "Bacterial small subunit ribosomal RNA", at positions 338 to 795 of the family's 1533-position model. The record is from RNAcentral.
CCUACGGGGGGCUGCAGUAAGGAAUAUUGGUCAAUGGACGAAAGUCUGAACCAGCCAUGCCGCGUGGAGGAUGAAGGUCCUCUGGAUUGUAAACUUCUUUUAUAUGGGACGAAAAAAGGCCUUUCCAGGUCGUCUGACGGUACCAUAUGAAUAAGCACCGGCUAACUCCGUGCCAGCAGCCGCGGUAAUACGGAGGGUGCAAGCGUUAUCCGGAUUCACUGGUGCGAAAGGGGGUUUAGGUGGCAGGGUAGAAAUCCCCGGGCUUAACUUGGGAACUGCCAUUGAUACUAUCAGUCUUGAAUACCGGGGAGGUCAGCGGAAUAUGUCAUGUAGCGGUGAAAUGCUUAGAUAUGACAUAGAACACCAAUGGCGAAGGCAGCUGGCUACACGGGUAUUGACACUGAGGCACGAAAGCGUGGGGAUCAAACAGGAUUAGAUACCCGGGUAGUC